AGUGAACGCUGGCGGUAGGCCUAACACAUGCAAGUCGAACGGCAGCACAGUAAGAGCUUGCUCUUACGGGUGGCGAGUGGCGGACGAGUGAGGAAUACAUCGGAAUCUACUUUUUCGUGGGGGAUAACGUAGGGAAACUUACGCUAAUACCGCAUACGACCUACGGGUGAAAGCAGGGGAUCUUCGGACCUUUCGCGAUUGAAUAGGCCGAUGUCGGAUUAGCUAGUUGGCGGGGUAAAGGCCCACCAAGGCGACGAUCCGUAGCUGGUCUGAGAGGAUGAUCAGCCACACUGGAACUGAGACACGGUCCAGACUCCUACGGGAGGAAGCAGUGGGGAAUAUUGGACAAAGGGCGCAAGCCUGAUCCAGCCAUACCGCGUGGGUGAAGAAGGCCUUCGGGUUGUAAAGCCCUUUUGUUGGGAAAGAAAAGCAGCAGGUUAAUACCCCGCUGUUCUGACGGUACCCAAAGAAUAAGCAACGGCUAACUUCGUG
RNAcentral lists this ribosomal RNA (492 nucleotides) under uncultured bacterium. RNAcentral's name for it is "partial 16S ribosomal RNA". It matches the Rfam family "Bacterial small subunit ribosomal RNA", at positions 29 to 507 of the family's 1533-position model. The record is from RNAcentral.